GCUACACAGAGCUCUUCUUCAGUGCCAAAUUUUGUCUCUCUCACCAACAGAAGUGGGUCCAAUAAAAGAGAUGACUUCACCCACCUUAUCUACAAUAUCCUGGGACUAACACAGUUACAGAACGGCCGAGAGAAAAAAAGCACUCGACUGUGAGUCGUGUGAACCGGAGCGCCUCGUCGAAUGUUGAAGCUUUGAGGAGGCAAUCGUCGAGGUGUCUGGAGACCUAAAGACCGGAGGGUUGUUCUGGAGUCUUUCAUUGAAUGAAGCACUUCAUUCGUGUUAGCAGCAAAGAGUUUGUCACCGUCGAAGGGAAGAUCUUCAAUUGUGUUCUGAACUUCGCGAGGAAAAAAGGAAGAGGAGAGCCAUGAGCCCCGUCGCAUGACUAUCGCUGUAGCGGUAGAUCUUGCCGCUGUGUUGGCUACAUCGAGGGCUGCUUGGAGAGCGGUGCGUGAAAUGGCUUGGCCCUCAGAAACUAUAGCUCUGAACUGUUGUUUUCUUUGUUCUGGAAUGUCAUCAAUAAAGUCCAUUAACUUA
Molecule: long non-coding RNA, 534 nt
Organism: Malaclemys terrapin pileata
Lineage: Eukaryota; Metazoa; Chordata; Testudines; Emydidae
Exons: 3
Source: RefSeq, a predicted model, not a curated record